UGGCUCUGGGAAGCGUUUUGCAGUUUGUAGGACUGCGAGCGGAGGGGCUCGGCGUGCGAUGCCUUACUUCCUCGUCAGUGCUACUGGACGAGUCGUGUCGCAUCGCUUGCAGCCGCCUGCUGCUCGAAACCAUAGAUGCAGUCUGAGGCGAAAUUCUCUCCGAUGGAGGAAUAUUGGAGGCGGAAGGCGUCGGAAGGGACGUGACUGGAGACGCUCUUUGGACGACCCAGUCCUCGGCUCGGAAGCCUUGGUGCAUUGCUGGCGAUCUGACCAUGCCUGGGGUGGAAGCGUCCCCUUGCUCAACGGCUGAAGAUGAAUACAAAGUAAGGUUGUAGUGAAAGACGCGGAUUUGACACUUUUGUGUGACUCACCACCGUGUCUGUGUUGUUUCCUGCGGGGCGGCUUUGUCACAGGAAUGCCAGCUUCAUUUUUAGAGGGGGAUGGGGUGUUCGGCAAGUCUAGCUUGAAGCCACGUUUGGCCUUUGUUCGCUCUUCUUCUCCCCACGGAGCUGGCGGCUGGGCCACUUGCUGGAGCCUGAUUUUCAUUAUCGUAAUUAGCAUACGGAUUUCCAUAAACUCUAGUCUAAAUUAUUGUGUGAUUUUGAGCAUUAAGAGGUAUGGUAUAUUUAUCAAGGGCAUUUUUAAAAUUUUUAGCUUAGAUGUUAGCCAAUUAUUUUCAUUCGACUUGGGAAUUAUAAGUUUUAUCAAGGUAUUUUAUUAAGACAUUUACGUGGGCUGUUGGUCAACAGCUGAAACGUCAAGUGGUGGUUUUUGUUUAGAUUUUGCGCUGGUCUGAGGUGAGGAAUGGGCUUGGUCAGCAUCAGCCGCCGAACUUCCUUGCAGACUGUAACUGCGUUAACCCCAAACCAAAAACACAUAAAUAUAGUUGCAUUCCCUUUUUUACACCAAUUAAUUCACCUUCCUUGGCUGCUACUACUCUCUGCGCUAGGUGAACUUGGCGAGGCAGUCUCGGCCGGCGCUUUAGGCGUACCCUCAAUCAGAUCAGGCCGAGGGGUCGGCGUGGAAUCACCGCCAACAGGCUCAGCCAACGGCACCUUCAAUCAUAAAUGUGCUCGAGUUGGUUCAAUUGAAUCGCGAAAGGCAAUUGUUUCGUGCUUUCUACGCUACCCGCUACUUUGAACUAAUAAAUAUAUUUUUUAAAUAGAGACCAAAGUCUCACCUGCUCCUCAUCUUUGCUCUGCAUCGAUGAUGCACUUUCAAAAGAGCUUCCCCCCUCACCCAGGUUGCUUGAAGAGGUUCCUGAGGGUUCAUGCUGUCCAUCAGGCUACAACAUUCAUGCACAACGCUCACGUUACAUUUAUGCAAAGGUGGGUGAAGCAUUUGAAGAUAGAGGUAUAUUAUGCAUUGUUUGUCCAAAUUCGUUUCGUCGUCGUGGAUAUAGAAUAUUUGCAGCAGGAAAUGCAGGAUUUUAAAAAGCUUGGAAGUUGAUUUCUGUAAGGACGAUAAGAAGAAAUAAGUUUCUAGAAAAAUUUACACUGUUUUCAAAAAGUGCAGCUCAAGUUAAAAUAUUCCAGAAAGUGUGCCUUUAUCUACCCUUGAACUAUAUAUAUUUGGUUAUAUUUGAACUAAUAGUAUGAUGACAAAGAUUAACAAUAUACAGUGAGUACACACCAAAAACAAAAAUUAAAUAUACAGACCCUCUGCAACCUUGAGCUGGAGUCGGUCGCGCCGGAAUUGUCUGUGGCUGUGAUAUAAUCUUCAGAAGUCUCUGAAACGUCUAAACACGCGGUUGAAGGUCUUAAGAGAGACGGAGAGUGACGUGGCGAUGCUUUAUUUGAAUAUGGCGAGGAAACUGUUUUGGGUGGCUGCGGUGACGGAGAUUUCCUUUAAAAAUAUUUAUUUAAUUUUGGCUGGUGAUUUUCUUUGGUAUUCACAAACCUGCUUUCUGAAAUACUUUUUGCGAUCCUGUCCUCUUCGACCAAAUCUGGCUGCUGGCUGACGACCAAAAUACCGCGCUUUUGAAUGGUACCAUUUGACAUUUCUGACAUGCUGCCCAUCGUUUCUGGGUCCGAGUUGUUGACUCCGAUGACGGUCGCUUGCGAUUCCCGCCAAGUGUUUUGCUGGCUGCCUGUAUAGCCACUGACUGACAGCGAGUCACAGGAAGAGCCUCCAGUUUGCUUACUUGUGUCUGGCAGAAGUAGCAAACCUAAAAAAAUGCUUCAUUAAAUUUAUAACUGAAAAAAUUAAAAUAAAUAACCUGAGGUGUUUAUCACAGUUGCUGGCUGACUUUGUGGUCUUCUUUCGCCUUCUUCAACUCCUUUAUCGUCGGAGAACUCUGAAUCUUCAGAACGACCUAUUGAUCGGCCAUCGAGGGAAAGUCUUCGUUUUCCAAAAAGCCCCUCACAAUGUUUUCGUGAAACUCUUCUUCGUCCAAUAAAGAGGACGAACUAAACAUACUGCCAUUGGUGCCAUCAGUGCCUUCGGAAGAUUUCUUUGCAAGUGCCAGGGGCGGUGAACCUUCAGGGGAGGUCGGAUCAAAAUGCCGCCCAUACAGUUCUGCGUCCUCCACCGUUGCCGAAGACUCACAUUGCUGUAAUAAAAAGAUCAAAAAUGUUUAUAGGUGAAUUUGGUAUGCAACCUGCGCGACGAGAGUGCUGCACCGGUUGCAUCGAUUCAAAUUUCGAUUGCCCAUAUAACACAAUUGAGAAACUUACCCUGUCAAUGUAAUCAGAAUGUUGGAUCCGUCUUCUCUCGAGCAAAAUCUCGCCUUCGGACAAAGUUUUGUGCAGGGGUCUUUUGGCCUUUGGCGAUGGCUGGGGCGAAACCUUGUUGGGGUUGGGCUCAAAAUCUAUGAAAAUCUCUUUGUAGCGCGGUGACAAGUCCCUCUUCUCGAGGCUCUGAUGUACCGAGAAUAAUGUCUGCUAAUUAAUGCGAGCGACACUUGGAUGCACUCAAAAUCGCACCUUGUGCCUCAUGGACGGCUGCGCCGACUGCGAUCUCUGCAUGUAGGGCCGCUCUUUAAACACGUGCUCGUCGUCGUCAGCGCUGUCUUGAAUUUGCUCCCAGCCUGAAGUGCUGCCAGAUAUACAAGAUAUGUCGGACGCUUGCGACUGAGCGGCCGUGCUGCCACCGCACGAGGCAGAGUAGCUCUUUGGCGUUCUGUACAUUAAAGAGAUGUCAACAGUCGUAAAAUGAGAUUAAGUAAGCGAACCGUGGCCCACAAACGUUGGAGUGUAUUGGAGGCGCGUGCUUUUUCGUUUAGUGGGAGAGGAAAAGUUCCAUAAGUGGCAAAAUUAUUUUACGUGCAGAAACUUUUAUAUUACGGUUUCCUCCUACGAAAAAAUAAAAACUUAAUUUGAAACACAUGUUAUGAUUCAAACAAAAAGUUUAAAUUGAAUUGUCAGAGCACUAGAGACAGAUCGAAAUUCGAUUCCAGGGCACUAAAAUAUCGCGUUACGUAAUGACCGGCCGCAAAUUUCCCCAAACGAAGGGAACAAACAAAAUUUGCAAACAACAGCCGUAAAUCGUAUACCUUACUUCUACCGGAGUUUCCACUAGACCUGGCACAAGUUUGGCCAUUAUCGGCUUCGGAAAUCGAGAAGCAAUAAAUACCUCGUUCGCUGGGCUUGCGUUGAUUUGUGCAUGGAGCGAGGGCUGAGUGACAAAUAGCCGUGCUGGUGGUGGUGAUGGUGGUGGUGUCGUUUUUCUCUGGGCGGCUUCUGCACCACGGCUGGCAGUGGCAGCUCCGUCUGGGUGGCCUGGGUCUUCAUGGUCGCCCUCUUCAGCUUCUCUGUCAACAGCACAGCCACCGCAGAGUGAGAAAAGAUACUUUCGGCGGCUUGCAAGUAAGUACGGUUGAAUUUAAUUCACACUCACUCCCGCAAGUCCCGAGAGGACCGCAAAUUAAUUCAAAUGCUCUGGCCGAGCCCAUGCUAAUGAAAAAGACGUAGAUUAUGCAAUUUCGCCGCUUACCCAUGAUCACAGUCUUUUUGGCCGGUGACUCCUCCUCGUGCGUGAAGCAGUGAACCGACGCCUUUUUCGGUUUGAUCAUCGGCCCGUCCAGAAGACGCUCCUGACUCUUAGCCAAUCUCCACCUGGCGGACGCGGAAGACUCUUCGAAGCUGGAGGUAGUUUGCGAACGGACUAGACCACUCCUGUGCUCCAUGAAACUGACGUGUUUGCUCCCUCUCCUCUCAUCAAUGUCCUGAUUUACAAUAUUCAACUUUUGAUAUGAGCAAAAGAAAGCUUUUGCAAACGCUGGACUAAUGGAAACGAGUUUUCUUUUGGCUUUGUAGUUGAAAAGAGCUAAUUCCAACUUUUAAUAAAAUUUUCAGCAAGCCAAAACUUGGCUUUUAGAGCUGGGAGCUGAAUAACAAAUCGUCGAGAGAGAUUAUAUUCGCGGGAGGGGGAGAGCGCGGAAGCGGAUAUCGCAUUAAGUAAACAGAGCAUAAGGGACAUUUCAUCUCCAUUUCACAUCCAGCCGGCGGACUAUAUCUGUGUGUCAAUUUAUUCCAUGUCGGGCCAACCGCCAUGCGGAGCGAGUCUGCCCAACUGAGAUCUGUGUAGCGGGUGCAUCCAAGCUAUGCAAAUUUAAUGGUGCUCACCAGCGCGUGUCCUUUCCUCGAGCUGAGCGGCGUGUUGGGCUCUGUGUGGUUGAAGCCACGCAUUCUGGCCUGCGCCUGUCUAAUCUGCUCCUCGGUGAUUUUCAUGUUGCCUUGCCCUAUGAGUCGACCGCCGCUGCCCUCGCCUGGCUUUUGGAAGUCCUGCGUCGGAAAUCCAGCGAUGGGAAUCGGUCGUGGGCGUUCCUGUGUGCGCCGCGUUUGUGUUAGAAGUGGCUCGACUUUUUCUGCAGUCUACAUUUACGUUUUCGAGGAAAGUUUUAAAGUGGCGUAAUUGAUUCCGAAAAAGUUUUGCCAGCGAGUUAUUUUGAAUGGCUAUGCUAUUUACAUGAGUUUAGCGUGUUCAUGCUGACAAAAACUCGAGUUUUGUGUAAUGGAGGCAGUGCUUUUUGCUAAAGUAAUUUGACACACAUUUAGAGUGUAUGCGCCUGGUGGAUGUUUCAGUGAAAAAUAAAUCUGAUGGUGAAGAUGGAACACUGAUGAGAAAAAUAGUUUUAGUGGGAAUAAAAUUAACCCAAUUAAGUGUCUGUCCGGUUAAAAGCACAUCAAAGAGCUUGAUAAUGAACCGUGUAAAUAAGACGAGCUGAGAGUGUUUUAUCUUGUUGGAAAGUUAAUAAAGCCAAUGUACUCGGCCAAAGUAAAUUUUCUCCUGAGCCUCUCCGCGCUGCAGCAUUGCACAGAGAGACUAGCUAAUUCAACUGUGGUGGUGGGGAAAACGUCGCUUUUGCAUUUAACAAAGUCGGCAUGACAACAUUCACAAUUUCAUACCGAGACAUCUGUGCACAAAUACUUGGUAAAUGUUGAAGAUGGAAGGCAUGCGAAUGCGAACAGUUUCAAUGUUUUCCAUUGGAAAAUGAAAGAAGAGAAGCAACACUUUUGAACACUCUCGCGCACUCACCAAACUGAGGUAGGCUUCGUCGGCUUGUUCUGGUACCCACUGGUACCGGCCUCGUCCACCGCGUCCAGCCUGUUCGGACAUAGAAGUGGCAUGCCAGCACGACAUUGAGUAGGGUGGCCAGUCGAAUCGCCCAUUUUCGAGUAAAUAUCAAACAUUUUGCUAUGCUAAACACAUAUUUUCAUUUUUUUACACAUUCUUAAGCAAGGGGAAGAUGUUUGUUUAUUUUUGAAUUGGAAUGUUCAAGGCUCGGAAAGGAAUCAACUAUAUAGUCAUCUAAACAGGGAGUUUUUCUGAUAGUUUAAAUUGACUUUUGAGAAAAUGGACCCGAUGUAAUCGUCAGCCACUCCAACAAUGAGACAAGAGAGAGUUCACAGAGGACAGAGAGAAAAGGCGGAUAGAGUUAGCGUGCAAGAGAAUGUUCCCAAUGUUAGGAGGUACAUAUGUAUUAAUGGGUUUGCUUUGCUGUUUCAAGAUACAUAAUGAAAGUAAACGUUUCCGCUCAUUUCAUCAGCUCCAACUGGCAGCGGAAGCGCGCUAGUCGAGUGACUCAUCAGGCGUAAAUACGCGUAUUGAGAGCACAAAAGCACAACUCGCUGCGCCUACCUGGUUGGCGGGAGGAGGGGGAGCGGGGGGCAGAUCGGAGGCUCGCAGCGGCUUCUGGGGCCAGUACUGGGCCAU
Molecule: long non-coding RNA, 6156 nt
Organism: Cloeon dipterum
Lineage: Eukaryota; Metazoa; Arthropoda; Insecta; Ephemeroptera; Baetidae
Exons: 4
Source: RefSeq, a predicted model, not a curated record